This 371-nucleotide ribosomal RNA is filed under the name uncultured bacterium. RNAcentral describes it as "bacterial SSU rRNA". It matches the Rfam family "Bacterial small subunit ribosomal RNA", at positions 28 to 399 of the family's 1533-position model. The record is from RNAcentral.
GACGAACGCUGGCGGCGUGCUUAACACAUGCAAGUCGAACGGAAAGGCCCAGCUUGUUGGGUACUCGAGUGGCGAACGGGUGAGUAACACGUGGGUGAUCUGCCCCAAACUUCGGGAUAAGCCUGGGAAACUGGGUCUAAUACCGGAUAUGACCUGCUCCUGCAUGGGGGUUGGUGGAAAGCUUUUGCGGUUUGGGAUGGGCCCGCGGCCUAUCAGCUUGUUGGUGGGGUAAUGGCCUACCAAGGCGACGACGGGUAGCCGACCUGAGAGGGUGAUCGGCCACACUGGGACUGAGACACGGCCCAGACUCCUACGGGAGGCAGCAGUGGGGAAUAUUGCACAAUGGGCGCAAGCCUGAUGCAGCGACGCCG